UAGAGCUGAGUGGAGAGAAUGUGGACACUGUGGGACUGUUCAAACUAGUAAUUCAAGAGAAAUGAAUAGAAUACUGAUUCAAACAGUAUUGAGGUGUGCUUUAUUAGUGUUUAAUGGUUUUAGUAAACCAUGUUUUUUUGUUCACCUGUGGAUGUUUGUGUGUACUUGUUGGGAGGGGGUUUGGAAAGAGAGCGUCUGCAUCUUUAAAUGGUCACCAUGUGCCAAUGUGCUUAAACUGAAGAGGGCUGCUGUCAUCUGGUGAAUCAUUCUGAGGGUGGUGUUUAAGUCAGGCCAGCAAGUACAAGCAUGUUCUCGUACCUCACUUAUAGCCCCCCAUGAGAACAUGAUGGGUCACAGAUUCACAGCAGCGUGUAAGAUGUGACAUCUGUCAGCAAAUGAAGAAAUGAUUUGCAGCCUUCAAUUCCAAACCACUAUUUGCCUGUCAAAAUAGAGGAGCUUGCUUUCACAAGCCUGCCCAGCUGUCAACGUCAUCUGACUUUUUGGGCUCAUCUGAUAUGACGCAUGACUGAACACACUCAAUGUUGGGUGGGUCGUGGGCACUGAAUCAACAGGUGGCCAUUCAAACGAGACUGGCAUUUAUACAUUUCCUCGAAGAGAUACGUUUGUUGGAGGAUGAAUUCCCCAGUGACAAGGUCAUUCACCUCCAGUGAACAUCUAGAACAUCCCUUCUGCUGGUCUUGUGUUAACUGAGCCUUGAGCAUAUCUAAUUAAACAGGAGGUAUAUUGUUGUGUUCCAAGUCAGAGCAUUGGAAUGUUGUUCUAAAGGCCCUUGGUGCCCAGAGAACAUUUAUUCAUUGAAGUGAAUAUGUGCGCUGCUUUAUGUAGUCUGAUGAUCACAUGAUUGGCCGGCUAACAGUGGCUGCUCGUUUCCCCGCCGGCCUUGGUUCUUUGGUCUGUUUGUGUUGGGGUGUGUCAGUGAAAUGAUAAAUGAGAUUUAUGAUACCAAGCGCAAAAAUUUAAAUUGCUGUAAUCCACAGGAAUGUUGCAUCAGGUUAUCCAUCUGCUGUAACUGUACUGUAUUGUGAAAUAUAAAUGCAUUUUUCUGA
Long non-coding RNA from Carassius auratus (goldfish), 1067 nucleotides. RefSeq lists it as uncharacterized. The transcript has 3 exons. Lineage: Eukaryota; Metazoa; Chordata; Actinopteri; Cypriniformes; Cyprinidae. The record is from RefSeq and is a predicted model, not a curated record.